This 478-nucleotide ribosomal RNA is filed under the name uncultured bacterium. RNAcentral's name for it is "partial 16S ribosomal RNA". It matches the Rfam family "Bacterial small subunit ribosomal RNA", at positions 28 to 507 of the family's 1533-position model. The record is from RNAcentral.
GAUGAACGCUGGCGGCGUGCUUAACACAUGCAAGUCGAACGAGAAGUGAAGACGGAAACCUUCGGGCGGAAGGCUUUAUUUCGAGUGGCGGACGGGUGAGUAACGCGUGGGUAACCUGCCUCAUACAGGGGGAUAACAGUUGGAAACGACUGUUAAUACCGCAUAAGACCACAGCACCGCAUGGUGCGGGGGUAAAAACUCCGGUGGUAUGAGAUGGACCCGCGUUCGAUUAGCCAGUUGGCGGGGUAACGGCCCACCAAAGCGACGAUCGAUAGCCGAGCUGAGAGGAUGACCGGCCACAUUGGGACUGAGACACGGCCCAAACUCCUACCGGAGGCAGCAGUGGGGAAUAUUGCACAAGGGGGGAAACCCUGAUGCAGCGACGCCGCGUGAGUGAAGAAGUAUUUCGGUAUGUAAAGCUCUAUCAGCAGGGAAGAAAAUGACGGUACCUGAGUAAGAAGCCCCGGCUAACUACGUG